RNAcentral lists this non-coding RNA (75 nucleotides) under unclassified sequences. The record is from RNAcentral.
GAAUGUUUGCCGCCGGGUAACGCCUGAUCCAUUCCGAUAGGCCUUAGAAGGAAUGGAGCCAGGCGUUUUUUUGUG